GCCAGGUGCAGUGGCGCAUGCCUGUAGACCCGGCUACUCGGGAGGCUGAGGCUGGAGGAUCUCUUGAGUCCAGGAGUUCUGGGCUGUAGUGCGCUACGCCGAUCGGGUGUCCACACUAAGUUCAGCAUCAAUAUGGUGACCUCCCGGAGCGGGGGGUCACCAGGUUGCCUAAGGAGGGGUGAACCAGCCCAGGCCGGAAACAGAGCAGGUCAAAAUUCCCGUGCUGAUCAGUAGUGGGAUCGUGCCUGUGAAUAGCCACUGCACUCCAGCCUGGGCAACAUAGUGAGACCCCCUCUCU
Molecule: signal recognition particle RNA, 298 nt
Filed under: Cebus imitator (Panamanian white-faced capuchin)
Lineage: Eukaryota; Metazoa; Chordata; Mammalia; Primates; Cebidae
Description: Metazoan signal recognition particle RNA (ENSCCAG00000013547.1)
Rfam family: Metazoan signal recognition particle RNA
About the family: The signal recognition particle (SRP) is a universally conserved ribonucleoprotein. It is involved in the co-translational targeting of proteins to membranes.
Source: RNAcentral